RNAcentral lists this ribosomal RNA (324 nucleotides) under uncultured soil bacterium. Its description in RNAcentral is "bacterial SSU rRNA". It matches the Rfam family "Bacterial small subunit ribosomal RNA", at positions 26 to 353 of the family's 1533-position model. The record is from RNAcentral.
AGAUUGAACGCUGGCGGCAGGCCUAACACAUGCAAGUCGAGCGGCAGCACGGGUACUUGUACCUGGUGGCGAGCGGCGGACGGGUGAGUAAUGCCUAGGAAUCUGCCUGAUAGUGGGGGAUAACGUUCGGAAACGGACGCUAAUACCGCAUACGUCCUACGGGAGAAAGCAGGGGACCUUCGGGCCUUGCGCUAUCAGAUGAGCCUGGGUCGGAUUAGCUAGUUGGUGAGGUAAUGGCUCACCAAGGCGACGAUCCGUAACUGGUCUGAGAGAUGAUCAGUCACACUGAACUGAGACACGGCCCAGACUCCUACGGGAGCAGCA